Molecule: ribosomal RNA, 468 nt
Filed under: uncultured bacterium
Lineage: Bacteria
Description: partial 16S ribosomal RNA
Rfam family: Bacterial small subunit ribosomal RNA
Source: RNAcentral
GACGAACGCUGGCGGCGUGCUUAACACAUGCAAGUCGAACGGAAAGGCCCUGCUUUUGUGGGGUGCUCGAGUGGCGAACGGGUGAGUAACACGUGAGUAACCUGCCCUUGACUUUGGGAUAACUUCAGGAAACUGGGGCUAAUACCGGAUAGGAGCUCCUGCUGCAUGGUUGGGGUUGGAAAGUUUCGGCGGUUGGGGAUGGACUCGCGGCUUAUCAGCUUGUUGGUGGGGUAGUGGCUUACCAAGGCUUUGACGGGUAGCCGGCCUGAGAGGGUGACCGGCCACAUUGGGACAGAGAGACGGCCCAGACUCCUACGGGAGGCAGCAGUGGGGAAUAUUGCACAAUGGGCGGAAGCCUGAUGCAGCAAAGCCGCGUGCGGGAUGACGGCCUUAGGGUUGUAAACCGCUUUCGCCUGUGACGAAGCGUGAGGGACGGUAAUGGGUAAAGAAGCACCGGCUAACUACGUG